CCCUGACUGCUUAACAGCAGACUAACCCAAGACAGGAGAUUGACAUG
Molecule: non-coding RNA, 47 nt
Filed under: unclassified sequences
Source: RNAcentral